AAAACUUCUCGGUAUUGGUGAAUUUUGAUGAAUCUUCCAGGCUUCUUGGAUCUCAAAUAAUCUAACUUCACUGCAGUUACUCCACUGGACUGCUGCCUAGUAAGUCUGGAGGCCAAGAUCUAAAAUAUUGUUCUGAGACCUCCAGGAAUAUCGGCUUCCUUCCUUCUUCCCCCGUUCGAGAGAAAUGGCCUCAUUGAACUCUUCUGAGGGAUGACCUCAGUGUCUUUUUCAAAUUGGAAAGAAACAUGAGUUUUAUCCCAACUCAUGCCCGCCUCCUUAGCCAUGACAUAUAGACAAUGGACUCUCACCGAGAACUCUGCCAAGCAUACCUGAGUAGGAGCUGAUUCCUAAGUGUUUAUUCCUAAGCAAUUUAUUAGGUGGACUAGAGAGAGUAUCUUCCUCUGCCAUCAACCUGACAGCAUGAGAGGGGUGCUGUUCUCCUUAGAAACUUGAACUUGAGCAUGGACAAAGACUUUUCCUUUACUACCUUGUGGACCAGCUGAGAGCAAUUUGGAACAUUCCAACAAGACUUUACCAAAGAUUUCUGGAAAAUAAGCAGAGAGGGAAAUAAGAAUCUAGAUCAUCUGAUAUCAAGUUACAGCUCUUGCUCAUGGCCUCAAGAACUCCUGCCUUCAACCUGGGCGACAGAGUGAGACCCUGUCUCAAAAAUAAAUAAAUAGGGUCGGGCGCGGUGGCUCAGGCCUGUAAUCCCAGCAUUUUAGUAGGCCGAGGGGGGCGGAUCAUGAGGUCAGGAAUUCAAGACCAGCCUGUCCAACGUGGUGAAACCCUGUCUCUACUAAAAAUACAAAAAUUAGCUGGGCGUGGUGGUGCAUGCCUGUAGUUCCAGCAACUCAGGAGGCUGAGGCAGGAGAAUCGCUUGAACCUGGGAGGCAGAGGUUGCGGUGAGCUGAGAUUACGCCACUGCAUGAUGCCUGGGUGACAG
RNAcentral lists this long non-coding RNA (943 nucleotides) under Homo sapiens (human). Its description in RNAcentral is "HSALNT0022962". The record is from RNAcentral. Lineage: Eukaryota; Metazoa; Chordata; Mammalia; Primates; Hominidae.